RNAcentral lists this ribosomal RNA (395 nucleotides) under uncultured bacterium. RNAcentral describes it as "partial 16S ribosomal RNA". It matches the Rfam family "Bacterial small subunit ribosomal RNA", at positions 523 to 918 of the family's 1533-position model. The record is from RNAcentral.
AUACGUAGGUGGCGAGCGUUGUCCGGAAUUACUGGGCGUAAAGCGUGCGCAGGCGGUUUUGUAAGACAGAGGUGAAAUCCCCGGGCUCAACCUGGGAACUGCCUUUGUGACUGCAAGGCUAGAGUACGGGAGAGAGGGAUGGAAUUCCGCGGGGAGCAGUGAAAUGCGUAGAUAUGCGGAGGAACACCGAUGGCGAAGGCAAUCCCCUGGGCCUGUACUGACGCUCAUGCACGAAAGCGUGGGGAGCAAACAGGAUUAGAUACCCUGGUAGUCCACGCCCUAAACGAUGUCAACUGGUUGUUGGGUCUUUAUUGACUCAGUAACGAAGCUAACGCGUGAAGUUGACCGCCUGGGGAGUACGGCCGCAAGGUUGAAACUCAAAUGAAUUGACGGGG